GUGGGGAAUAUUGGACAAUGGGCGCAAGCCUGACGCAGCCAUGCCGCGUGAAUGAUGAAGGUCUUAGGAUUGUAAAAUUCUUUCACCGGGGACGAUAAUGACGGUACCCGGAGAAGAAGCCCCGGCUAACUUCGUGCCAGCAGCCGCGGUAAUACGAAGGGGGCUAGCGUUGCUCGGAAUUACUGGGCGUAAAGGGCGCGUAGGCGGACAGUUAAGUUGGGGGUGAAAGCCCGGGGCUCAACCUCGGAACUGCCUUCAAUACUGGCUGUCUUGAGUAUGAGAGAGGUGUGUGGAACUCCGAGUGUAGAGGUGAAAUUCGUAGAUAUUCGGAAGAACACCAGUGGCGAAGGCGACACACUGGCUCAUUACUGACGCUGAGGCGCGAAAGCGUGGGGAGCAAACAGGAUUAGAUACCCUGGUAGUCC
This 425-nucleotide ribosomal RNA is filed under the name uncultured bacterium. RNAcentral's name for it is "partial 16S ribosomal RNA". It matches the Rfam family "Bacterial small subunit ribosomal RNA", at positions 354 to 796 of the family's 1533-position model. The record is from RNAcentral.